GUCCUUGUAGUAUAAGUUAGUACUUCGGUCUUGUAAACCGGACAGUGGAGAGCCUCACUCCCUAGGACA
This 69-nucleotide transfer RNA is filed under the name Plecturocebus donacophilus (Bolivian titi). RNAcentral's name for it is "tRNA-Thr". It matches the Rfam family "tRNA". Rfam says of the family: Transfer RNA (tRNA) molecules are approximately 80 nucleotides in length. Their secondary structure includes four short double-helical elements and three loops (D, anti-codon, and T loops). Further hydrogen bonds mediate the characteristic L-shaped molecular structure. tRNAs have two regions of fundamental functional importance: the anti-codon, which is responsible for specific mRNA codon recognition, and the 3' end, to which the tRNAs corresponding amino acid is attached (by aminoacyl-tRNA synthetases). tRNAs cope with the degeneracy of the genetic code in two manners: having more than one tRNA (with a specific anti-codon) for a particular amino acid; and 'wobble' base-pairing, i.e. permitting non-standard base-pairing at the 3rd anti-codon position. Lineage: Eukaryota; Metazoa; Chordata; Mammalia; Primates; Pitheciidae. The record is from RNAcentral.